This 664-nucleotide ribosomal RNA is filed under the name uncultured eukaryote. Its description in RNAcentral is "SSU rRNA". It matches the Rfam family "Eukaryotic small subunit ribosomal RNA", at positions 1013 to 1699 of the family's 1831-position model. The record is from RNAcentral.
UCCCGCCCUAGUUCUAACCCAUAAACGAUGCCAGCUAGCGAUCUGAGGACGUUUUUUUUGUAGACUCCUCAGGAAGCUUCCGGGAAACCAAAGCGUGUGGGUUCCGGGGGAAGUAUGGUUGCAAAGCUGAAACUUAAAGGAAUUGACGGAAGGGCACCACCAGGAGUGGAGCCUGCGGCUUAAUUUGACUCAACACGGGAAAUCUCACCAGGCCCGGACACUGGAAGGAUUGACAGAUUGAGAGCUCUUUCUCGAUUCGGUGGGUGGUGGUGCAUGGCCGUUCUUAGUUGGUGGAGUGAUUUGUCUGGUUAAUUCCGAUAACGAACGAGACUCUGUCCUGCUAAAUAGUGUCAGCCUCUCUUUUGGGCUGACAAUUCUUCUUAGAGGGACUGGCGGCUCCUAGCCGCACGAGAUAGAGCAAUAACAGGUCUGUGAUGCCCUUAGAUGUUCUGGGCCGCACGCGCGCUACACUGAAUAGAUCAGCGUGUUCUCCCUUUCUGAGAAGAACGGGUAAACCGCUGAACCCUAUUCGUGGUAGGGAUCGGGGCUUGCAAUUAUUCCCCGUGAACCAGGAAUUCCCAGUAGGCGCGAGUCAUAAGCUCGCGUCGAUUACGUCCCUGCCCCUUGUACACACCCCCCGUCGCUAAUACCGAUUGAAUGGGUA